GCGACGGUGGUGUAGUGGAAAGCACACUCAGUUAACGCCACGGAUAUCUUCUUCGGAAGGUUAUUUCCGGGCUGAGAGUGACAAGGGUUCGAAUCCCUUCCCUCGCA
This is a non-coding RNA of Pluteus cervinus, 107 nucleotides long. NCBI's taxonomy places the organism in Eukaryota, Fungi, Basidiomycota, Agaricomycetes, Agaricales, Pluteaceae. The record is from the annotation of a GenBank genome assembly.